UAGGCCUAUAGUUAUUUGACAAUUGUGAAAGUUACUGUUAUAUUUAUUAACAACCUUCCAGGCUAGACUUGGGUGAUAAAAGAAACUUGAGAUUAUGAGAAAUAAGAGUUAAAACAGGAAAGUUAUUCGACAUAUGACUUUUAUAUGCGGUGACAUCUUUUCGAAUGUCGCUUUUUUUUUCUUUUUUUUUUUUUUUUUUUACAAAUUUCGCUUUUAUGUAAUUUACCGCCGUGCGAUUGAUACAUUUUGUAAUAUUUAAAAUGAACCCAUGUAAAAUUAUGAGAUCUACCUAUUGCUUAUAGUUUAAGAAAAACAUACCAAACCAUGAAAAUGAGGUCACGGUCAGACGAACUCUGCUAUACAGAUAUGUACACCUUACAAUCCUUACAUGCUUAAAAUAUAGUUGACCUUUUGAGUAUUG
This 421-nucleotide long non-coding RNA is filed under the name Mytilus galloprovincialis (Mediterranean mussel). Lineage: Eukaryota; Metazoa; Mollusca; Bivalvia; Mytilida; Mytilidae. The record is from RNAcentral.